Molecule: ribosomal RNA, 520 nt
Filed under: uncultured Paraglomus
Lineage: Eukaryota; Fungi; Glomeromycota; Glomeromycetes; Paraglomerales; Paraglomeraceae
Description: SSU rRNA
Rfam family: Eukaryotic small subunit ribosomal RNA
Source: RNAcentral
AGCAGCCGCGGUAAUUCCAGCUCCAAUAGCGUAUAUUAAAGUUGUUGCAGUUAAAAAGCUCGUAGUUGAAUUUCAGGCCUGGCUGGACGGUCCGCCCUUCGGGUGAGUACUGUCUGUGGUCGGGUCCUACCUUCUGGCGAAGCGUCAUGGCCUUAACCGGCCGUGGCGGGGAACCAGGACUUUACUGUGAAAAAUUAGAGUGUUCAAAGCAGGCAAAUCGCUUGGAUACAUUAGCAUGGAAUAAUGGAAUAGGACGAUGGUUCUAUUUGUUGGUUUCUAGGACCGUUGUAAUGAUUAAUAGGGAUAGUUGGGGGGCAUUAGUAUUCAAUUGUCAGAGGUGAAAUUCUUGGAUUUAUUGAAGACUAACUACUGCGAAAGCAUUUUGCCAAGGAUGUUUUCAUUAAUCAAGAACGAAAGUUAGGGGAUCGAAGACGAUCAGAUACCGUCGUAGUCUUAACCAUAAACUAUGCCGACUAGGAAUCGGGCGAUGUUGACAAAAUUGACGCGCUCGGCACCUCAU